This 835-nucleotide ribosomal RNA is filed under the name uncultured bacterium. RNAcentral's name for it is "bacterial SSU rRNA". It matches the Rfam family "Bacterial small subunit ribosomal RNA", at positions 8 to 857 of the family's 1533-position model. The record is from RNAcentral.
AGAGUUUGAUCCUGGCUCAGGAUAAACGCUGGCGGCGUGCCUAAUACAUGCAAGUCGAACGGAGGAUUUGUAGCAAUAUGAAUUCUUAGUGGCGAAUGGGUGAGUAACGCGUUGGUGACCUACCCCUAAGAGAGGGAUAACAGUUCGAAAGGACUGCUAAUACCUCAUGUGAUCAGUGGGAUUGGAAUCUGCUGAUUAAAGCCGCAAGGCGCUUGGGGAGGGGCCUGCGUCCCAUCAGCUAGUUGGUAGGGUAAAGGCCUACCAAGGCUACGACGGGUAGGGGGCCUGAGAGGGUGGCCCCCCACACUGGCACUGACACACGGGCCAGACACCUACGGGUGGCAGCAGUAGGGAAUAUUGGGCAAUGGGCGAAAGCCUGACCCAGCAACGCCGCGUGUGCGAUGAAGGUCUUCGGAUCGUAAAGCACUUUUGGAAGAGAUGAGGAAGGACGGUAUCUUCAGAAUAAGGAUCGGCUAACUACGUGCCAGCAGCCGCGGUAAAACGUAGGAUCCAAGCGUUAUCCGAAUUUACUGGGCGUAAAGCGCAUGCAGGCGGAUCGGCAAGUCGGAUGUAAAAGCUCCUGGCUCAACUAGGAGAGGCCGUUCGAAACUACCGAACUAGAGGACGAUAGAGGAAGGUGGAAUUCCCGGUGUAGUGGUGAAAUGCGUAGAUAUCGGGAGGAACACCAGUGGCGAAAGCGACCUUCUGGAUCGUUCCUGACGCUCAGAUGCGAAAGCUAGGGGAGCAAACGGGAUUAGAAACCCCGGUAGUCCUAGCCGUAAACGAUGUAGACUUGGCGUUGGUGGGGUAAAAGCCAUCGGUGCCGAAGCCAACC